ACCGGCAGCUCAAGUGGUGGCCAUUUUUAUUGGGCCUAAAGCGUUCGUAGCCGGUUUGACAAGUCUCUGGUGAAAUCCCGCAGCUUAACUGUGGGACUUGCUGGAGAUACUAUUAGACUUGAGGUCGGGAGAGGUUAGGGGUACUCCCAGGGGUGGGGUGAAAAUCCAUAAUCCCGGGAGGGACACCCGUGGCGAAGGCGGCCUAACGGAAAGAAACUUACGGUGGGUAACGAAAGCCAGGGGCGCGAACCG
This 252-nucleotide ribosomal RNA is filed under the name uncultured prokaryote. Its description in RNAcentral is "partial 16S rRNA". It matches the Rfam family "Archaeal small subunit ribosomal RNA", at positions 475 to 726 of the family's 1478-position model. The record is from RNAcentral.